UGGGGAAUAUUGGACAAUGGGCGAAAGCCUGAUCCAGCAACGCCGCGUGAGUGCUAAGGCCUUCGGGUUGUAAAGCUCUUUUAGUAGGAAAGAUUAUGACGGUACCUACAGAAAAAGCCCCGGCUAACUUCGUGCCAGCAGCCGCGGUAAUACGAAGGGGGCUAGCGUUACUCGGAAUUAUUGGGCGUAAAGAGUGCGUAGGCGGCACAAUAAGUUGGAAGUAAAAGCCUCAGGCUUAACCUGAGAAUCGCUUUCAAAACUGUUGUGCUUGAGUGCCAAAGAGGAUAGCGGAAUUCCUAGUGUAGAGGUGAAAUUCGUAGAUAUUAGGAGGAACACCGAGAGCGAAAGCAGCUAUCUGGUUGGUUACUGACGCUGUUGCACGAAAGCGUGGGGAGCAAAC
This 400-nucleotide ribosomal RNA is filed under the name uncultured bacterium. RNAcentral describes it as "bacterial SSU rRNA". It matches the Rfam family "Bacterial small subunit ribosomal RNA", at positions 355 to 773 of the family's 1533-position model. The record is from RNAcentral.